Ailuropoda melanoleuca (giant panda) is the source of this 718-nucleotide long non-coding RNA. RefSeq lists it as uncharacterized. The transcript is spliced from 3 exons. The record is from RefSeq and is a predicted model, not a curated record. Lineage: Eukaryota; Metazoa; Chordata; Mammalia; Carnivora; Ursidae.
UCCACCGUGGAGGCUCUGGGCCCAGCCUGUACACCGCUGUCCCUUUCUCUGGACGCUUCUUAUCUGACAGUUAUUGUACCCAGAGGUCAGUUACCAUACCGCUGCCACUCAUUCAGAACAGAGAUGUUGGUCACAUCUCUCUCAGCAUGACGGGACGCCCCUAGGGAAGCCCCUUAGCAGCUUGUCGUGCACACCGCAUCUUUGCCCAUCUAAGAAGGAAAGCCAGGCUCUAUCUGAUCUGAUAAUACACAGAAGAUUUGAUCCUUACUCUGUUCCUUCCUGCCCUGACGUAUGCCUGGGAGACUCACCUCUACAAAUUACAUUAUCUGGACUGUGUUGCACCUGACUUCUGGUUGGGUUUGGCCAAUGAAAGGAGGAGUGGAGGAAUUACGUGGGUUGGCUGUCACCAACAGAGCCUCCAAACCCCAUCGGGACGUUUCUACAGCCCUUGUAACCACCUCUGGACAAAAUGGAUUCUGUGCAUCCAGGGCUUUGGGGUCUCCCGAAGUCACGUCGAACAAGUUUAAUGUUAUUUCUCAAAGCAAAUCUGAAUCUCACAUGUGAAUUAUUGAACGUCUUGCCGAUGGAGCAUUUUCUACAAGCUGCCUUCCCCCCAAGUGCCCAGGGAGACACGCGGCCAGCUGCCUGCCGCCGGUGUCUGCGCGCUGAGACCAACAGAGCAGUUAUUCAAAUAAUAGGAAAUAUUAACACUGACGUU